GCUUGCUUCAUCAGCACAAAUAGAAACCAGAAUGAUACAGAGAUUAUUAGCAUGGAUCCAGUGCAAGGGUGGCACGCACAUUUGUGAACUGUUCCAGGCUUAA
Small nuclear RNA from Mastomys coucha (southern multimammate mouse), 103 nucleotides. The record is from RefSeq and is a predicted model, not a curated record. NCBI's taxonomy places the organism in Eukaryota, Metazoa, Chordata, Mammalia, Rodentia, Muridae.